UACGAAGGGGGCUAGCGUUGUUCGGAAUUACUGGGCGUAAAGCGUGCGCAGGCGGCUUCUCAAGUCAGGGGGUGAAAGCCCAGAGCUCAACUCUGGAAUUGCCUUUGAGACUGAGUGGCUUGAGUACGAGAGAGGUGAGUGGAAUUCCCAGUGUAGAGGUGAAAUUCGUAGAUAUUGGGAAGAACACCGGUGGCGAAGGCGGCUCACUGGCUCGUAACUGACGCUCAUGCACGACAGCGUGGGGGAUCAAACAGG
RNAcentral lists this ribosomal RNA (255 nucleotides) under uncultured bacterium. RNAcentral describes it as "partial 16S ribosomal RNA". It matches the Rfam family "Bacterial small subunit ribosomal RNA", at positions 524 to 776 of the family's 1533-position model. The record is from RNAcentral.